Molecule: transfer RNA, 84 nt
Organism: Coprococcus sp. CAG:782
Lineage: Bacteria; Bacillati; Bacillota; Clostridia; Lachnospirales; Lachnospiraceae
Rfam family: tRNA
About the family: Transfer RNA (tRNA) molecules are approximately 80 nucleotides in length. Their secondary structure includes four short double-helical elements and three loops (D, anti-codon, and T loops). Further hydrogen bonds mediate the characteristic L-shaped molecular structure. tRNAs have two regions of fundamental functional importance: the anti-codon, which is responsible for specific mRNA codon recognition, and the 3' end, to which the tRNAs corresponding amino acid is attached (by aminoacyl-tRNA synthetases). tRNAs cope with the degeneracy of the genetic code in two manners: having more than one tRNA (with a specific anti-codon) for a particular amino acid; and 'wobble' base-pairing, i.e. permitting non-standard base-pairing at the 3rd anti-codon position.
Source: Rfam
GCCGGCGUGUCGGAAUUGGCAGACGAGGCAGACUCAAAAUCUGUUGGCGGCAACGUCGUGCGGGUUCAAGUCCCGCCGCCGGCA